UGCUCGGCGCCACUUUUCGGUGUGCAGAGCGCGAAUGACGGCUGUCCGUCCUGCCAGGGCCCUGUGAGGAGAAACGGCGACUUCUCUUCACGUUGUUCUGCUGAGAAUUGUAAUCGCGUCGAUCAAUCACAUCCUGUUGUGACGUGUGACGCCCAUUCAUGUUGAAGCUGCUAUGCAAAUGGAAACUAUCGAAGAUCAUUUGAGAGUCACGAGAGAAUCUGCGGAUGCAGGAAAUCCUGAGCAACACACAAAAACACUGGAGGAGCCCAGCAGGUCAGGCAGCGUCUAUGGAGGGGAAUAAACAGUCAACGUUUCAGGCCGAUGCUCUUCAUCAGGACUGGAGAGUCUUGUCCUUCUCCGCGGCUGGUGUUUUCUCCAUGCCGUCCCUUCCUGUGCUUCUCCUGAAGCCGCCGCCAGCAGUGAAGGACUUUGUCUCAGAGAAGAUGGAGGCAAACUUCAAUGUCCUGAGGAAUCAGAGAGGAGCAGAGGGAACAGAACUUGUGGAGAAAACUGCAGCAACUUCUCCCAGUAAAAGUAGGGAAAUUUCUCCAGUUGAGAAGACUGGCAUACAAGGUAACAGAAAAAACUAUCACAGUCUUUUACAGCAGUGCUUGAUUGACAGAGAAAUUACCUAAUCAUUUUCAGUAUGGCUGGGAAUUAAUUUUAAGUAUAUUGAGUCAUUUUAAAAGCCAUAACAUCAUAAGACAUAGGUAUAGAAUUAGGUCAUUUGGCCCAUUGAGACUGCUCCACCAUUCAGUCGUAGCUAAUUUAUUUUCCCUCUCCCCAUAACCUUUGAUUCCCUUACUAAUUAAGUAUGUAUCAAUCUCUACUGUAAAUACACACAAUGUCUUGGCCUCCACUGCCAUCUCCAGCCAGAGAAACUCCUCCACAUCUCUGUUCUAAAGGGAUACCCUUGCAUUUUGAGGCCAUAACACAUAAUAUCACAUGACAGUUGUUUCUUUGAUGCAAGCAAUUAAAAACACAUCAUGCGACACACUGCUCAUUUGCAUAUAAUUAUAAUAUUAUAAUAGAAUUAUUGUUCACCCGACGUCAGUUCUGAUGAAAAUGGAAAACCAUGAAUGGGAAGUUAGCAAGUUGGUUGUGGCACUAACUGAACAGUCUCUGUUGGAGUAUUCUCCAUGAUCAGGGAAUCCUACAUACCAAGCAACAGUUAGAUUACUUCAGCGCUGAUUUUCUAAACAUUAACAAGCACAUUCAGGUUAAUUAGGAAUCUUUCCAGGAAGUUAUCAGUGACUUUUCCCACUGCUCACUUACUGAUUCAUUUUGGGCAAGAGCUCCUGCAUUAACUUUCCAAUUAUUCUGUUUUUCCUGAAUCGUGGCUGAGACCAAGGGGCAUAGGAGUAGAAUUAGGCUGUUUGCCUGUUGAGUCUAACCCUAUCAUAAACCCAGUCAGUGACAUCCGUGCAUUGUGACAAGGAGCAGGAGUCCGAGUUGUCUUGUACAUACUGUUCUGAGCUCUAUGGUGCUGAAUUCAAUUAGGGACUUUUUUUUUGUAAUUAAUUUUUUUAUUGAAGUUUAUCAUCAAACAAACAUUUCCAUAAGAUGUAUUUCAGAUAUUGUACAUAUAUAUCAUAUAGUCAUAUAUGCCACAAAUCUCCAUAUAAUAUUUAUCUGAGGUAUGUACUUACAGAAAAGAGAGGAAAGAAAGAACAAGCGGAAGGAGAAAACUAUGUAUAAGUAGGAACUGAUCUUUUUUUACAACAUAUUCAUUGACUUGUGAGAAUAAAAUCAGGCCUAUGAGGUGUUACAUAGUUAAACUAUUUUUCCCAGUAUGAAUCAAAUUGUUCCAACUUAUGAUUAACAGAUGCUGUUAUCUUCUCCAUUUUGUAAAUGUCCAUUAUAAUUUCCAUCCAUGCAUUUAAGGUUGGGCUCUCCUGUGAUAACCAUUUCCUAGUAAGAGGCUUUUUACCAGCCACCAACAGUUUAUUCAUUAAAUAUCUAUCUCUUUUCAACCAUUCCUGAGGUAUAUACCCAAAAUAUAUGGUCUUACUUUCUAAGGGUAUUUCACAUUUAAAGAUGUCUUGUGUAUCCCACUCCAAUAGUCUUUGAUAAUGGGGCAUUCCCAGAAAAUAUGAUAACGAUUUGCAUUUUGAUUUCCACAAGUUCUCCAGCAAACAGGGAGGUUACCAUCAUAAUGGGUUUUCUGAGAGGAUGUAAUAAAAUAUCUUAUCAAGUUUUUCCUUUUGAACUCAGUCCAUUUCUGUGAACUGGUACACUUCCAUUGAUACCUCCGUAAAUUUGUCCAUUCUUCCUCAGAUAUAAUUAUCCCUCCUUCCUUCUCCCAUUUUGUUUUAAUGUAUGAAGUUGAAUAUGUUUUAAGAUUUGACAAACGCUUAUAUUUGCUUGAAAUGAUUCUACUACUGUUAUCUGAAUUAUAUGCUUUUCUAAAUAGCUCUAUCAAACAUGUUCUUGCCUUGGUUACAUUUUUAACCGUCCUAUUACCAUAUUGUCGCAUCUGUAAAUACCGAUAAAAAUCUUGUUUUUCUAAUAAGUGUUUCUCUUUAAGCAUUUCAAAACUGAAGUGUUCCUUCUUUCAUUAUAUUGCAAAGAACAGUUAUUCCUUUAGCCAUCCAGGCCUUAAAUCUAGCAUCCAGUUUAUUCGGCAUAAAAUCCGAGUUAUAUGCACACCAUUUAAGGAUUGCAAUAUCUCCCUCUAGUUUAGGUAAAGAGUAUGUUGGUUGCCCUAGAUAGAUCAAUAUGUCAUCCGCGUAACAAGCCAAUUUAUGCUCUGUCCCUUUAAUAGUAAUUCCCCUGAUAUCUUCAUUUUGUCUGAUGUAUUGAGCUAAUGGUUCCAGAUAUAAUGCGAAGAGUAGUGGUGACCAUGCACAACACUGUCUCGUGUCCCUUUCUAGGGUAAGACUAUUUGAUAAAUGUCCAUUGAUUUUAAUCCCAGCAGUAGGGUUGUCAUGUAGUGUCUGUAUAGUUUUAAUAAUUGUGUCUUGGAAAGCAAACCAAUGUAAAACUCUGUAAAGACCAUUCCAAUUAAUCGAAUCAAAUGCCUUUCCAGCGUCCACACUUAUUACUAUUGCUUCGAUUUUAUUUUUUUUUGUAUAUCAUCCAUAAUGUAAAGUGUCCUUUGUAUAUUGGCUUGUGGUCGGCAUUGUUGUAUAAAACCUGUCUGAUCAUUAUGUAUCAGUAUGGGUAGAGACUCUUCUAAUCGUUUGGCCAUGAUGGAGGUAAAUAAUCUAUAAUUUACAUUAAGAACGGAUAUUGGUCUAAAUGACCCACAUUCCAUUUUAUCCGUGCCUUCUUUCGGAAAAGCUGAGAUUAUUGCUUCCUUCCAGCUGGGUGGCAUUUGUGCCUUUUUUAGAGCCCAAUUCAAUGUGGGGAGUAAGACAGGAAUUAACUCAUUUUUAAAUUCUUUGUACCACUCUGCCGUAUACCCAUCUGAUCCUGGUGAUAUGCUUAAUUUAAGCCUACUAAUCGCAGCUUUUAGUUCAAUUUCAGUUAUGUCAGCAGUCAUUGUUCUAUUUUGUUCUUCACUUAAAGUGAGUAACUCUAGAGAAUUCAGGAAGGUGUCAAUUUGGGUUAUGCUUCCCCCUGGAACUUUGGAAUAUAGAGUUUUGUAAAACACUUCAAAAGCUUCUUGAAUUUCACUUAGCUUAUUUUUUUAAAAUAAUUUUUGUCCUUGGAUCCCUAAUUCUAUGAAUUGUAUUUUGUGCUAUCUUUUUUUUUCAGUUUCCACACCAGUAUUUUCAUAGAUUUAGAUACACUUUCAUAAUUUCUCUGUUUCAGAAACAUUAAAUUUUUCCUGAUUUCUUGCGUAGCCGCACUAUUAAUUUCAUUCAUAAUAUUUUUAAUUUCCUCUAAUGUAUCCUGUGCCAAAUUCAAUUUGUGUUUUUUUCUAGUUCCUUCAGCCUAUUUUGUAAUUCCUCUAAUGUUUUAUUCCUUUUUUUUUCUUAUAUGAAGAUAUCACUAUAAUUUUCCCUCUUAAAACAGCCUUCAGAGUAUCUCAUAGAAUGGGAGGUGAAACCUCUCUGUUAUCAUUGAAUUCUAAGUAAAGACCAAUUUCUUUUUUAAUUUGUUCCUUAAAGUGUGGAUCAUUGAGUAGACUUGAAUUUAGUUUCCAAAUAGUAUUCUUUGGUUGUAGUCAAAAUCAAAAGAUAAAUAUAUAGGUGCAUGAUCACUUACUUCUAUUGUCCCAAUUCCACAGGUGUUUAUUUUGUCUUUGUCAUUUCCAAAUGUUAUGAAAUAGUCUAUUCUUGUAUAUACAGAAUGGGGGGGGGCAGAAUAACGAGUGUAAUCCCUUCUGUUGGGGAAAAGGGCCCUCCAUAUAUCAACUAGACCAACAUCCUCAAAAAGUGUAUUAACUUUCUUAAGUAAGGAUUUUGUUUCAUAGGUUUUUCUAUUGGAAGAGCCUAACUUUGGUUGUAAUUGUAAAUUUAAGUCUCCCCCACAUAUCAGGAGAACUUCUGUUUCCGUUACCAUAAUAUCAGUAAUUUUCUGAAAGAAACUAAUAUCACUUCCUGGGGGUGCGUAUAUAUUCAAUAGAGUAACUGAAUUGCCGUCUAUAUUCCCCCUUACCAGAAUAUAUCUGCCCUCCUUAUCUCCCAUUUUGAAUACUUUGUCAAAAUUUAGCUUGCUUGAAAUAAGAAUAGCAACUCCUCUCCUAUGCCCUGAUUUAUAUCAGGAGAAAAACAGAUUAGUGAAGCCCAUUCUCUUUUGUUUUCCAUGCUCAUUAUCACUUAAGGGAGUUUCCUAUAACUAUACUACAUGGGCUUGUUCUUUUUUCAUUUUGGAUAGAAUUCUACUACAUGUGAUUGGAUUUAAUAGCCCAUUGACAUUAAAAGAAAUGAAUUUUACUUUGUCCUUAGCCAUGUGUAUUUAUCUGUCAAUAUAUCAUUGAAAUUAUAAGAAUAAAACUUAAUUGAUCUACUCCCUGAAGAAAUAAGAACCAAGAAACACGAAUUUAAAGAAAAAGGCAAUGAAGGUGUGAUUCCAAGGCUGAGGUCUCUAGUAGAUGACCCUGGGCUGAGCUAGAGGAAAUGUCUAGCUGUGGGGGAUAGCCCCUCCUACCUGUGAGUUGAGGACCCCAUUGCAGUACCCAUAAAAGAACAAAUCUAUGUCCAUUACACUGAAAAGAUUUCCCUGUGUAUUCCUCCCAUGUAUAUAUUCUCACUUAGGUGGGGGGAAAGGAGUGAAUGAAUGAAUAAAAAAGAAUAAUUGAGUAAUAUAAAAUCCACAUUAUAAUAAGUAUUUCUUGAGAUAGGUAUAUCACCAUCUAUUUUUGCUUCUGUUUAGCUUCUCAACACUUUUAAAGUUAGUCAAACCUAACGGCUCUUCUGGAGGGGGUGAGGGUUGUCUUUGGAAAACUCGGUCUCUUCCUGAUAUACUUCUCUCGUCCUCCUCCCGUCCCCUGCUUUCUCGAUUCUCACACUAUUUCCCAAGCAGAGUGGGAUAACUGCUCAGCCAGGCUUUCCCUCGGUUUGAUCAUGCUGACGGGCAACCCUCUGGCCUUCAUGUCUGUAGUCGCCUCUUCCACUGUCUGAUACAGUUGGAUCCCAUCUUCAUAAAACAUUCGCAGUUUAGCAGGGUAUGGAGUUUGGAAUCUAAUCUUUCCUUGCUUUAAUAUUUACUUUACUUCAGAGUAUCUUUACAUUUCUGCAGGACCACUGUGGGGGGGGGGGUAAUCUUGAUCGAAAUACAGGUAUAUUAAUUUCCAGUCCAAAAACACCCUCUUCUUUCCCCAGGCCCUUCCUAUAAUCUUCGCCUUGGUAUUGUAUUGAAGGAAUCUAAUUACUAUUGAGCAUGGCUUAUCUCCUCUGUCUCCAGUAAGCCUCGGAGUGAGCGCACGAUGCGCCCUCUCAAUUUCAAGCUCCAUAGUUGAAGGAAUCUCUAGUGCGUCCUGCAGCAACUUUCGUACAAACUCCAUCAUACACAAACCCUCCGCUCCUUCGGGAAAAUUGUAUAUCCUGAUAUUUUUCCACCGUGAUCUUCCCUCCUGGUCAAGCAGUUUACUUUCUUGUUGAUUUAAUAUUUUUAUUGUCUUACUUAGUAUCUGUUCUAUGUUUUACACAUGAUCUUCUACCUUCUCAAUUCAUGUUUCUGCCACUGCUAUUUUUUGAUUGACGUUGGUGAGCUUUGACUUGAUAUCAUUUAGUUGCUGUUUUAUAUCUUUUUGGAAUCCCUGUAUCUCUUCCAGAAUUUUUAUCAUAUUUGCUGCUUUGCCUGAACGAGGCCUGGCGCCCGCCUCGCUAUCACGCGGUCGGGUAGGAGAGCCGCUCGCUGCACCCCUCUCAUCCACAGGCUCUGCGGUGAUGCUUUUUUUUAAUCUACAUUCCUUUUCCCCAUUCUUGCCCCCCUUAUCAAUUCAGAUACGUUCAAACGAUAUUUUAUUUGAUGGAUUAAUGGGGCAAAAUAUGUGUUUUUCCAAAGCAGCUAUUGACUUAGGCUGCCAUUCUGAACGAUGACAUCACCGGAACCCCCCCGGGAGUCCUAUCUCAGCUGUGAUGGAAUGGUGGAGAAGACUCGCUAGGCCAGUUGACCUACUCCUAUGUCUUAGGGUCACAGAGCCGUGGAAAAGUACAGAACAGAAGCAGGCUCUUUGUCCCAUCUAGUCUGUGCCAAAUCCAUUUAAACUGCCUACUCCCGUCGACCUGCACCCAGACUGUAGCCCUCCACACCCCUACCUACCAUGUACCUGUCCAAACUUCUCUUAAGUGUUGAAAUUAAGCUCACAUGCACCACCUGUGCUGUCAGCUCAUUCCACGCUCUCACAACUUUCUGAGUGAAGAAGUUUCCCUUCAUGUUUCCCUUUAACCUUUCACCCUUAAUCCAUGACCUUCAGUUGUCAUCCUACCCAACCUCAGUGGAAAAAGCCUGCUUGCAUUUACCCUAUCCGUACUCCACAUAAUUUCGUAUACCUCUAUCAAAUCUCCUCUCAGUCUUCUAUGUUCCAAGGAAUAAAGUCCUAACCAGGUCCACCAGACUGGCAACAUCCUUGUAAAUUUUCUCUGCACUCUUUCAACAUUACUUACACCUUUCCCGUAGGCAGGUGAUCAAAACCGCACACAAUACUCAAAAUUAGGCCUCACAAACGUCUCAUACAACUUCGACAUAAAUCCCAUCUCCUCUGCUCAAUAUAUUGAUUUAGGAAGGCCAAUUUGCCAAAAUCUUUUCUUAUGACCCUAUCUACCUGUGAUGCCACUUCCAAUGAAUUAUGGACCUGCAUUUCCAGAUCCCUUUGUUCUACUGUACUCCUCAGUGCCCUACCAUCCCUGUGCAAGAUCUUAUGGUCUAUUUAUUCAUGAAGAAACAACAGUGAUGACCGUCUGCUCCAGACCAGUCCAGUCCUCAUCGAAGGGUCAGUGGUGGGAAGAGUGAGUGGCCUCAAUUUCCUGGGUGUCAACAUCUCUGAAGAUCUACCCUAGGUCAAAGUAUCGAUGUGGUUACAAAGAAGGCACAACAGCGGCUAUAUUUCAUUAAAGGUUUGAAGAGAUUUGGUCACCAAAGGUUCUAGCAAAUUUCUUCAAUCUACCAUGAUGAGCAUUCUGGUGUAUCUUCAUCUAGUAUAGAGGGUCCAAUGCAUACGGUCAGAACCAAUGCAGAGGGUUCUACACUCAACCAGCUACAUUAUGGGCACUAGCCUCCCUGCCUUUGAGGACAUCUUCAAGAAGGCAGCAUCUAACAUUAAUGACCAUAGUCUCCAGGACGUGCCCAUUUCUCAUUGCUACCAUCAGAGAGGAGGUCCAGGAGCCUGAAGAGACACAGUCAACAUUUUAGGAACAACUUCUUACUCUUACCCACCACCAUCAGAUUUCCAAACAGUCUGUGAAACCAUGAACACAAUCUCAUUAUUAUGCAUUUUACUGUACUUUAAAAAAAAUUGUAGCUUCUAGUAAUCUUUUUUAUGUAUUGCACUGUGCUGCUGCUAAAAAAAACAAAAAAAAAGUCACGACAGAUGUCAGUAAUAAUAACACAAAAUGCUGGCAGAACUCAGCAGGCCAGACAGCAUCUAUGUGAGGAGGCAGUGAUGACGUUUCGG
This is a long non-coding RNA of Hypanus sabinus (Atlantic stingray), 8005 nucleotides long. RefSeq lists it as uncharacterized. The record is from RefSeq and is a predicted model, not a curated record. The transcript has 4 exons. Lineage: Eukaryota; Metazoa; Chordata; Chondrichthyes; Myliobatiformes; Dasyatidae.